Molecule: ribosomal RNA, 315 nt
Filed under: Klebsiella pneumoniae
Lineage: Bacteria; Pseudomonadati; Pseudomonadota; Gammaproteobacteria; Enterobacterales; Enterobacteriaceae
Description: bacterial LSU rRNA
Rfam family: Bacterial large subunit ribosomal RNA
Source: RNAcentral
UAGGAUAGGUGGGAGGCUUUGAAGCGUGGACGCCAGUCUGCGUGGAGCCAACCUUGAAAUACCACCCUUUUAUGUUUGAUGUUCUAACGUUGGCCCCUGACCGGGGUUGCGGACAGUGUCUGGUGGGUAGUUUGACUGGGGCGGUCUCCUCCCAAAGCGUAACGGAGGAGCACGAAGGUUAGCUAAUCCUGGUCGGACAUCAGGAGGUUAGUGCAAUGGCAUAAGCUAGCUUGACUGCGAGCGUGACGGCGCGAGCAGGUGCGAAAGCAGGGCAUAGUGAUCCGGUGGUUCUGAAUGGAAGGGCCAUCGCUCAAC